UGAGCAAUCUGCCCUUCUCAUCGGAAUAACCAUUGGAAACGAUGGCUAAUGCCGAAUAUGACCUCGGAUCACAUGUUCUGAGGUGGAAAGCUCCGGCGGAGAAGGAUGAGCUCGCGGCCUAUCAGCUUGUUGGUGAGGUAAUAGCUCACCAAGGCGAUGACGGGUAGCCGGCCUGAGAGGGUCGACCGGCCACACGUGGGACUGAGACACCGGCACGUACCG
Molecule: ribosomal RNA, 222 nt
Filed under: uncultured bacterium
Lineage: Bacteria
Description: partial 16S ribosomal RNA
Rfam family: Bacterial small subunit ribosomal RNA
Source: RNAcentral